UACAGAGUUGGCAAGCGUUGUUCGGAAUUACUGGGCGUAAAGGGCGCGUAGGCGGCUUGGUCAGUCCCGUGUGAAAUCCCUCGGCUCAACUGAGGAACUGCACGGGAAACUGCCUGGCUUGAGUUCGGGAGAGGGAAGCGGAAUUCCGGGUGUAGCGGUGAAAUGCGUAGAUAUCCGGAGGAACACCGGUGGCGAAGGCGGCUUCCUGGACCGACACUGACGCUGAGGCGCGAAAGCUAGGGGAGCAAACGGG
This 253-nucleotide ribosomal RNA is filed under the name uncultured bacterium. Its description in RNAcentral is "partial 16S ribosomal RNA". It matches the Rfam family "Bacterial small subunit ribosomal RNA", at positions 524 to 776 of the family's 1533-position model. The record is from RNAcentral.